AUGCUGGUAGACCAGAAGACCUCUGUUAUCAAUGUAAAGUCCCAGAACAGGCCUCUGACAUCAUAUCCUCCCUCUCUACAACCACCAUGUGUACAUCAGGAACCUCUGACAUCAUAUCCUCCCUCUCCACAACCACCAUGUGUACAUCAGGAACCUCUGACAUCAUAUCCUCCCUCUACAACCACCAUGUGUACCAUGUGUACAUCAGGAACCUCUGACAUCAUAUCCUCCCUCUCUACAACCACCAUGUGUACAUCAGGAACCUCUGACAUCAUAUCCUCCCUCUCUACAACCACCAUGUGUACAUCAGGAACCUCUGACGACAUAUCCUCCCUCUCUACAACCACCAUGUGUACCUCAGGAACCUCUGACAUCAUAUCCUCCCUCUCUACAACCACCAUGUGUACAUCAGGAACCUUUGACAACAUAUCCUCCCUCUCUCUCCGUUAUAUCCAGAUGUAUGAACUGCAGCACCAACCUUACUCACUACGUCGCUCGUUCAAACGUCCAGACCACACAAACACAUUCCUCCUCCAAUCCAUCUGAGCUGUGUGUAUCAUGUUGUCUGUACCAGGAAGUACGAUCAGAACUGUAAAGUGCACUUAGAGAAUGACCACAUUUCCAACAAUGCUGGUUGUAUCUAAAAACAGACAGGGGACAGACAGGAGACUCUCAGCUAGAGACAGACCGGGGCAGGGGACAGACAGGAGACUGUCUCAGCUAGAGACAGACAGGAACAGGGGCUCAGCAAGGAUUGGACUUAGUGUGUCUGGGUCUGGACAGAAGACGGCCAUUUUGAUCAAGAUACAUAGCUGUAACAGUAGUAGCAGAGAAGAUCGAGAGAACCAGGACCCAGUAAUGUCCUUCCAGUCUAUAUUGAAAGUUGGCCUGCCCAUUGGACAACAGAAAGACAAAGAUGGACGUUUUGAGGUAUGUGUGAAUGUUCUGAAGACGGACGUUUUGAGGUAUGUGUGAAUGUUCUGAGAGGAUGACAGCUUUAUCUCGUCCUCAGUUUCAGUCUGAAAUGUCCCACAGCCCUGAUUGGAUAAACAGGGAGAGAAAAAACCAACCCAGUUUAAACAAGGAUCCCUUUUCCCCCAACAGUCUUUCAGUUUGAGACGGGACAGAGACAGACAGGACAGAGACGGACAGGACAGAGACAGACAGACAGGACAGAGACAGAGGAGACAGACAGGACAGAGACAGAGGAGACAGACAGGACAGAGACAGAGGAGACAGACAGGACAGAGACAGACAGGACAGAGACAGACAGGACAGAGACAGACAGACAGGACAGAGACGGGACAGAGAACGAAACAGAGACGGGACAGAGAACGAGACAGAGAACGGGACAGAGAACGAGACAGAGAACGAGACAGAGAACGAGACAGAGAACGAGACAGAGAACGAGACAGAGAACGAGACAGAGAACGAGACAGAGAACGGGACAGAGAACGAGACAGAGAACGGGACAGAGAACGGGACAGAGAACGGGACAGAGAACGAGACAGAGAACGGGACAGAGAACGAGACAGAGAACGGGACAGAGAACGGGACAGAGAACGGGACAGAGAACGAGACAGACAGGACAUUACGAAAGGAUUGUUGAUAUUGUCUAAGAUUGUCGCCAUGCGUUUGGACUGUCCGACACAUCGUAGAAAAAUAAAAUGAGGCAUAUAUUGAAAGACGGAAUGACAAAGUACUGCAAGAAUUCAAUGAAUAGAUAGAUAUACAAUGUUUUUCUUUAUAGCUUAUAAAUACGGUAAUAUACACUAUGUGGUACAAAAAUAUUAAAACACUUUGCAAAAAAAACAACUAAAUGAUUCGAAGAACUGAUCAGGUACAAUAACUAGUCCUCUGUGGA
Molecule: long non-coding RNA, 1864 nt
Organism: Oncorhynchus mykiss (rainbow trout)
Lineage: Eukaryota; Metazoa; Chordata; Actinopteri; Salmoniformes; Salmonidae
Source: Ensembl